GAUGAACGCUGGCGGCGUGCCUAAUACAUGCAAGUCGAGCGAACGGACGAGAAGCUUGCUUCUCUGAUGUUAGCGGCGGACGGGUGAGUAACACGUGGAUAACCUACCUAUAAGACUAGGAUAACUUCGGGAAACCGGAGCUAAUUCCGGAUGAUAUUUUGAACCGCAUGGUUCAAAAGUGAAAGACGGUCUUGCUGUCACUUAUAGAUGGAUCCGCGCUGCAUUAGCUAGUUGGUAAGGUAACGGCUUACCAAGGCAACGAUGCAUAGCCGACCUGAGAGGGUGAUCGGCCACACUGGAACUGACACACGGUCCAGACUCCUACGGGAGGCAGCAGUAGGGAAUCUUCCGCAAUGGGCGAAAGCCUGACGGAGCAACGCCGCGUGAGUGAUGAAGGUCUUCGGAUCGUAAAACUCUGUUAUUAGGGAAGAACAUAUGUGUAAGUAACUGUGCACAUCUUGACGGUACCUAAUCAGAAAGCCACGGCUAACUACGUG
Molecule: ribosomal RNA, 497 nt
Filed under: uncultured bacterium
Lineage: Bacteria
Description: partial 16S ribosomal RNA
Rfam family: Bacterial small subunit ribosomal RNA
Source: RNAcentral